Molecule: signal recognition particle RNA, 266 nt
Filed under: Candidozyma auris
Lineage: Eukaryota; Fungi; Ascomycota; Pichiomycetes; Serinales; Metschnikowiaceae
Description: Candida auris Fungal signal recognition particle RNA
Rfam family: Fungal signal recognition particle RNA
Source: Rfam by way of RNAcentral
GUGCUGUGAUGGCGUUUGGCAGAAUCGCACUGCUUGUGUACUUCGCAAUUUGGACUACAUUGAAAGUGUCCGGUUCGAUCCCCGCGGUCGAGGAUGUGGUUAUUCGAGUAAUCAAUAUUCCUAUCCUCAGCAAUGAGUAGCACUAUCACUGGAGGGAAGAUAAUUCAGCACAGUAGGCUACCCGUGGCGGAGGCGAAGCGGAUGGCACAUUCUUUGGCAUUGGUUCAGGUUGUUAAGUAUCUGGUGUGGAGACUCCAAUUUGAUUU